Molecule: ribosomal RNA, 120 nt
Filed under: Candidatus Collierbacteria bacterium GW2011_GWC2_44_13
Lineage: Bacteria; Candidatus Collieribacteriota
Source: RNAcentral
UUCCCGGUGAUUUAGCCUAUCGUGUACCACUCCUUCCCAUUCCGAACAGGACCGUGAAAGCGAUAGGCACUGAUGAUACUUAGUCCAAAUCCGGAUUUGGGAAAGUAGGUUUUGCCGGGA